GUCCAGCCAGUAUAGUGGAUAUGACCCUCGACUUGUAGUCGAGUGGACUCGGGUUCGAAUCCCGAAUUGGGCA
Molecule: non-coding RNA, 73 nt
Organism: Trichonephila clavipes
Lineage: Eukaryota; Metazoa; Arthropoda; Arachnida; Araneae; Nephilidae
Source: the annotation of a GenBank genome assembly